Elaeis guineensis (African oil palm) is the source of this 3535-nucleotide RNA transcript. RefSeq lists it as uncharacterized. Lineage: Eukaryota; Viridiplantae; Streptophyta; Magnoliopsida; Arecales; Arecaceae. The record is from RefSeq and is a predicted model, not a curated record.
UCUUGUUCUACGCUCCCCUUGCUGUGUCUCAAAAAAAUUUCUUGGAUUAAAAUCCAAGCUACUGACCCUUCGAAAACCCUUUCUAUAAAUCCCCAAAUCAAAAGAAAAGAUAGCGCCAUUCAUUUGGUAGCUGGAGGAAAGCCCCUCUCCUCUCCUCGUUCCAUCGUUUAGGGCUUUCGUCUUCGCCUCGAUUCCUCCUCCUCCUAUCUAGGCUGGGGGGUUAAGAAGAAAAGGAAGAAAUGGACCCCGUCGCAUCCGUGUUGGAUAGAAUCAAAGGGUUCGUGAAAUCCACCGAGCAAUUCGUGAAGGGCGCGAUCCAGCGGCGCUUCGAUUUCCACCGCCACGAUCCAAUAGGGAUUCUGAAGCGCUUGCAACGAGAAGCAUUUUCUGACUUGAUGAAGCUUAGGGAUAGGCAGGACAAGGUUGAGCGCAUGCUUUCAUUGCAUAAAUCUGGAAAAGGAAGUCUUUUCCCUGAAGCCAGCACACGCAUGAAAGGAAUCAUUGAUGUGGCUGGAGCAUUAAUGCUUCGUGAUGAUCAGCAAACAUGUGAUACCCUGGAUAGAGCGGGAAUAAAUUCUGGCAUAGACUCAAGGUUUAUUUUUGAGACUACCGUCAGGCAAAAGGAUUCUCUUGUAGCAGAAUUUAUGUCGAGUAGCAAUGACAUUUAUUAUGAUAAUGAUGUUGCUGGGAGCCCCCUGGUACUAGCAAAAGUAAUGUACCUGGCGCAUAUUAAUGAACUGUUGUCUGUAAUUUCAAUACCAUUUGGGGCUAAAUGUAAUGAUUUUCGUUCUGAUAUGAACCUGGCAGAGGGCAGAAGCCUUAGUGGGUUUACUUCAUCCAGCCCACCUUUGUUUAGUCAACGUCAUGGCUGUGCUGCUGGUUUAACAGUCAAAGCAUCAAACAUUACUGCUUCUUUGGCUGAGAUGAUCUCUUGUUUGGGGACUGAACCAGAUGCUGCUGAUUACAGGAGUAUCUUGAGCACAUUUUGGCAAAUUUCAUACCAGCUAUCGGAAGAAACUAAACUCACUUUGUCUGGUGCCUGGAAAAUGCCUAGUUCAUUGUCACAGCCAAUCAGACUUGGUAAUGUUGCCGUUCCAAAAGUCAAUUUGCGAUCCCAUUUCAGACCUCAUGUAAUGGCACAAGCAUCCCCUUCUGCCACUACAAUGUCUACCAUAGGAAUUAUAUCAGGAGGAUCUGCUGCCAUAACAUUCGAGUUUGAUGAAAGUACAAAAUUUGGGGGAUGGGUUGAGGUGCAAAAGUCAAACCCAAGCCCCAGUCUCUUGCAGUGGGCCAUCACCUUAUCUGAUACUCCGGAUGAUGAGGUAGGCUGGGGUGUGAGUGUGGGAGGAAGGGUUGAAGGGCAAUCAAAUCUUGUUCGGUUGGAAGGCUUUCUCAAUUUCAGUAUGGGUGAGAGAGGCAGCUUGCAGCCUGGUCUUGUGUGUGUGAUGGAUGGGACAAGUCGAACCCCGGCACUGGUGUUUCGAUCAAGUUGGUUUAUGUGACUAUCUGACCGACUGAAGUCUAUGGUUGACUAUAAAUUACUAGAAGUUAUGGUGCUUGUGCCUUGGUGGAUGAAUCAAUUCCUCCUGCACAAGUUCUUCUAGAGCUUAAUGUCCAUCAUCAUCCAACUUGCAAGCAUGAUUCUAUGGUGAGAUAAGCCAAUGGUCUAUUCCAAUCCAGGUAUGAGAACCUAGCAAACUAUUAUAAUCUUGAGAUAAAUCAUAUGGCAGAACCAAAAACAAACAAAUCCAGGCUGAAAACAACAAAAGAAAGGACAUGCAUUUUUGCUCAGGGAAUACAACAUCUGUAAAUGAGUUGGUAGGCUAACUGAAUAAUUGCACAACAACAUGCUAUUUUAAUGGAAUAUGCUGGAAAGAUUUGAACCUAUGGGAGACCCAACUUUAAUGGGCAUUUAGUGGAGCCCUCUUUCCAGCUUUUAUGACCAGUCCUGAAGUAGGUGCCCUGUGGGAUGGCAUACUCUCUUUUAAAAGUGAGAGGGGACUUUGAUUCAAUUCUACUUUAACAUGCUCGACAGGAUAAACAACAUUUCUAUCAAAUGGUGUUAGGUGGGCCUAGGUUUGCCACCCAAAAUUGUUUGGUGGGAACUGACGAUUUGUGAUAUUUCAGGCCAACUUGGUGGAAUGUAUUUCAUCUUAUGUGGAAUUAUUGUAGUUGCGGAGUUUGAAUUUCUUUGAGUUGCAUACUUGUUGCCUAGGCCUAGAUUUAUUUUAUUUUUUUUAUUUUGUUGGGUGUGGGUCAACAGCAUGGUAACAAAUUAUCUGAGUUAUUUGAAUUUCGUGAGUUGGCUAAAUGAUUCUUCAAGUUCUCUAAAUCUUGAAACUAAUCAGGAAUCAUUAAAUUAUUGAUGGAUUUAUGAUUUGGUCGUAGUUAUUAUUUGACUUAAUAAAUACUCAUAUAUUACAAAUAAAUGAUGUUUGUUGUUUUGCAACCGUAUGUCAUUCUUCUUUCUACUGUUCUUUUGUUGAAGCCAUCAACCUUUUUAUAAAUUCUCGUUGUCUCUCUUGUGGAAUUUGUUCGUUAAUUCUGAACUUUGUGACUGUUAUAAGGUAAUGAAUUGCUCGGCAACGAAUCAAUCGAUGUAUGAUUGAGUUUUACUUUUGACAAGAUUUGGGUGGUUAGAGGUAUUUGGAAAAAGGCUACCCGCUAUUUUGUAGCUCUAGUUUGUAGCUCGAUGAUGAUAACGAUGGCAACAUCAUCCUUCUCUAGUGAAUCAAUUAAUCUACGAUCGCACUCCACCUUUACCAGGAGUUGGAACCUCUGGAAAAGUGCAGCCCACUAUUGUGCAGCUCAUCAGCAAUGAUGAUGAUACCACCACCACCAUCUCCUCCAAGUGAACUAAUUAGUCUAUAAUUGAAUUCCACCUUUACUAGACUUGGGAGGUUAGAGAUAUUUGGAUAAGGGAUGCGCACCAUUGUGUCUAUCAUGAUGAUGGUGUCAACGAUGAAGAGCAUGAUGAUGAUGAUGAUGAAUAGCAUCGUUAUGUGAGAUGAAUGUAGAAAUAAAAGAACUAGCACAGACCUCUUGAAAUCUCCCAUUGCUACGGUGAAUGUUCGACUUGAAUUGAUGAUAAACUGCAACCUGAAUUGAGUAUAAACUGGUGCAGACAUUAACAAACCCAGUCGAAAAGCUGUGCAGGAACGGUACCAGAGUGGAUGAAAAAGGGCAUAUGGUGAUAAUGCCUGUGGAUCAAGCUGGGAUGAGACGAGUGGAAUGAGGAUAUAGUUUCUAUUGUAAUUUUCCUUUUUUCCUUUGAUAAAAACAAAAGCAACAAUGCCAAGCUGGAAAACGAGGCAAAGAAUAAAGAUCACCUACUCGACAGCUGAAAGCUGACCCAAAUGCGAUUUCCCAGUCUAACCAAAGCUUAUGUGAUCAUCCGUAAUCUGCAAGCUCAUUGGCGGCAAAAUCAUGCUUUCUUGUGGCAAGAAGAUCUAAAGAUUUUUCAAGGAUUACCAAAGUAUGAGAUUUUAGAUAAACAGUUUUUAGAACUAAAUGGGCAAACAUCAGCUUUUUGGCA